GUGGAAUUUUGAUGGCUCUAGUA
RNAcentral lists this non-coding RNA (23 nucleotides) under Cricetulus griseus (Chinese hamster). Lineage: Eukaryota; Metazoa; Chordata; Mammalia; Rodentia; Cricetidae. The record is from RNAcentral.